AUCUAUCGUCAUCCAGAAUGCGAUUUCAUUGCCUCGUGUUCUGGCGUACCAUGAAUAUAAUGUGCAUGAUAAAUGGUGAAUCAUGCAAGGGUGAGUUUUUGUAAAGAAACGUUUUGUGUUUCAGUUUCUAUCCAGUAUGCAGUACACAAUACAUAAUACAUUGAAUAUUUAUCAGUAUUGGGAAUUUAACGCAAAUUUGUCAUGGAUUUGUUAUUACCAUAGAUGAUACGUUAAAGGAAUAAGAAUUGUAGAGGAAAAAUUAUUUACGACUGUAUUUAGAUAAUUGUUCCUGGAUGCUGGAUAUUGCAAAAUAAAGGAAUUUUAUAAAUUAAACAUUUUAAUUUGUUUUUGAUACAAUAGAUGGAUUCGUAUCUAAUUAAUAUACAAACUAGCUUGCAAAUUAUUCCAAUAAUCCAAUACACUAUUUCAUUUCAUUAAUAUAUUAUACAAUAUGUAAAAUUAAUUAAUUUAUCAUAAAUAUCAUCGAAUCUUGAUAUCUUCGCUCAAACGUGCAUCAAAAGAGAGACACGUAAUGGAAAAAGCACAAAUCUUUAAAACUGAUUGUCUAUUGGAAAAAAAAAAGAAAAAAAAAAAGAAAAAUGUGUUGCGAACAUUUUCAUCGGCGAAAUUAUUUGCAAAUUAUUGCCAUUACCCCGAAAAACAAAACAUUAAUGCGUUUCUGGAUGAAAAUACCCAUCCCCUGUGCAAAGGAGUUAAAAAUUCGAAUGCGCAUUAUCGAUGAACAAUCUAGCGAAUAAUUAAUUCCAUUCCCGCAUGGAAAUUCGAGCUGGCAAAAUGAUAAUUAAUCAAAACUGCUUGUUUAAUGCCGAAUAAACCGCCGUCGUUGUCAGCCUUUAAAUAAUGAACGAUUUGAAUAUCCCUUCGUGUUAUUAUGAAUGAUAAUUGACACAUCGUGCGAGAGAAAAGACGCUGUAUUAUCGAGAAAUCACCUGUGAUGCCAAUUCAGAAGUGAAGUGAAGUGAAGUGAAGUGAAGUGAAAUGAAAUAAAUUAAAAUAUAAGUAAUUAAGAAAUAAUUAAGAAAAUGUAUAUAUAAUGUAUAUUAGAAUGUAAGAAUAAGAAUAUGAAAUAAGAUUUUGUUAUUUUUAAUUGUAAUAGCACGAAUAUAUUUGAGAAUAAAACUUUGAAAAAUUAUUAAGAAUGAAAAUUACUCUAAUGUGUAUCUUUGAUUUUAUAGAAUUUUAUUCUUAAAUAUAUUUGUGUCUAAAUGCUAAUAAUUAUUAAAUGUAUUGUAAACUUUUCAAUUAAUAAGACAUUAUUUUAUUAUAAAAAUUUUAUAAGAAAAAUUUCAUCAUAUGUAUAUAUAUAUUUUAAAUUAUAAAAUAUAAUACAUAUGAACAUAAAAUUUUAUGAUAUAAAAUAUAUAUACAUAUGAAUGUUGAUUUUGUCUAGUAUAUUUAUGUAUAAGAUAUAUGUAAUAUAAGGUUAUGUAUAAAAUAUAAGAUAUAUUACUACAUGUACAAACACUUAUACAAUAAAGCUAUUUAUUUUUCUUUA
Molecule: long non-coding RNA, 1516 nt
Organism: Apis cerana (Asiatic honeybee)
Lineage: Eukaryota; Metazoa; Arthropoda; Insecta; Hymenoptera; Apidae
Source: RefSeq, a predicted model, not a curated record